AGCUUUUUGCAGUGGCAAUAUUGUAGCCAAUGAGGUUUAUCCAAGGCCCAAUUAUUGCUAAUUGAAAGUAUAGACAGAUCAGG
Cavia aperea (Brazilian guinea pig) is the source of this 83-nucleotide small nuclear RNA. Its record names the gene U4. It matches the Rfam family "U4 spliceosomal RNA". Rfam says of the family: U4 small nuclear RNA (U4 snRNA) is a component of the major U2-dependent spliceosome. The structure of U4 snRNA from yeast and human has been reported. NCBI's taxonomy places the organism in Eukaryota, Metazoa, Chordata, Mammalia, Rodentia, Caviidae. The record is from Ensembl.